GUAAUUGUGUCCUAAACCUGUAGCAGCCCUUCUUACUAGAUCACUACGCAUCAAGGGUGUUCAGUGAUAGUGAGGUGUUUAGUGCGUGACUCCACCACCAGCACAGGGGUGAAAAGGAAGCAGUGGAUCACAAGGUAUUACAGGGAUCAAACUGAACCGCAGACGUCUCCUGGGUUUCAUAUGAUGAACACGUACAUACUGAACUGUAUUGAAUCCGGUGCAAGAGGAUACCUUUAGGCCUUUCUCCCACCUCUAUGGUUCUGAUGCGUGGAAGGAGUCUCCAGUGUCAGAGCUGUUUCGUAACAGGCUGAGCUGAAGCUGUAAAGACUGUUCAUAACUGAUAUAAGUGAGCAUGUAAGGUGACAAUAAACAAAUGUGUGUUAGCAA
Tachysurus fulvidraco (yellow catfish) is the source of this 387-nucleotide long non-coding RNA. RefSeq lists it as uncharacterized. The record is from RefSeq and is a predicted model, not a curated record. The transcript is spliced from 2 exons. NCBI's taxonomy places the organism in Eukaryota, Metazoa, Chordata, Actinopteri, Siluriformes, Bagridae.